GGGUAGUCAUCCUUGGGCAAUAGAUCACCAUGUUGAAUUGUUGUAGAUUAGACAUCCACUUUUGUAUCAAGCCUAUUGCAACUUAAAUUGGGUGUGGAGAAACUAAAGUGAGUUAUGAUCUGUGUGCAUAAUUUUUUUUUUGCCUAGCAAAUAUGAGCUAAUGCAUCAUGGCCCGAUGUAAAGCAUACAACCUUUGUCAUAUAUUGGAUAAUUCAGCUAUGAUCCUUGGAACAUU
This 235-nucleotide long non-coding RNA is filed under the name Elaeis guineensis (African oil palm). RNAcentral describes it as "long non-coding RNA (EGUI_LNC005059)". Lineage: Eukaryota; Viridiplantae; Streptophyta; Magnoliopsida; Arecales; Arecaceae. The record is from RNAcentral.